CUUCUCUCUCCCUCUCCCUCUCCACUGCCUAUCUACCUCUCUCCCCUAACUCUCUCUAUUUCUCUCUCCCGUCGAAGAAAACAGAGCUCUCAACCUCCAAAAUUUUCCGUCGUUCCUCCAACUCAUCUCACGUCGCCGGCCGGAAGAGCUGCUGCUGUCGCGCCGCUGCUCCGUCGCACGCCGUCACUGCCGGCGUCCAAUUCAGCCGCGCCCGCUGCUGCCGUCGGUCAAUUCAGCCGCGCCCGCUGCUGCCGUCGGCCAAUUCAGCCAUCGUCCAUCACCGAACCAACCCCGAACAACUCCGAACAGCCCCGAAACGACCCGAAUCAACUGAGGAGCUUGGUUUUUAUUCAAGGGUUUUGAUAUUUUGAAUAUUAAGAGAUGGAAAACCUAAAGCAUUUACAUCGCGACAUACCACGAGAGUUGCCGGAUGUGUUAAUAUUUGACAUAUUUUGGAGGUUACCAAUGACGGAUGUGGUUAGGACAUCUCUUCUAUCCAAACGCUGGAGGAGCUUUUGGACCACUGCUCCCUUUCUUAAUUUCGAUAAUCGUGCUAUGUUGUUUGAUGAUAUUAAGCUUCGUAAUUUUGUUAAUCAGGCUCUAUUAUGCUGGAAUGGGAAUAGGAUUUUGAAAUUCAGGUUUCAUUCGCAUAAUCACUUAUGUUUAAUGAUGUUGAUUUGUGGGUGAGUUUUGGCCAAAGAAAUGGAGUUGAAGAAUUACAUUUA
Molecule: long non-coding RNA, 725 nt
Organism: Salvia splendens (bonfire salvia)
Lineage: Eukaryota; Viridiplantae; Streptophyta; Magnoliopsida; Lamiales; Lamiaceae
Exons: 2
Source: RefSeq, a predicted model, not a curated record